GAUGAACGCUGGCGGCGUGCCUAAUACAUGCAAGUCGAGCGAACAGAUGAGGAGCUUGCUCCUCUGACGUUAGCGGCGGACGGGUGAGUAACACGUGGAUAACCUACCUAUAAGACUGGGAUAACUUCGGGAAACCGGAGCUAAUACCGGAUAAUAUAUUGAACCGCAUGGUUCAAUAGUGAAAGACGGUUUUGCUGUCACUUAUAGAUGGAUCCGCGCCGCAUUAGCUAGUUGGUAAGGUAACGGCUUACCAAGGCAACGAUGCGUAGCCGAGCUGAGAGAGGGAUAGGCCACACUAGAACUGAGCCACGGUCCAGACUCCUACGGGAGGCAGCAGUAGGGAAUCUUCGGCAACGGGCGAAAGCCUGACAGAGCAAAGCCGCGCGAGUGAUAAAGGUGUUCGGAUCGUAAAACUCUGUUACUAGGGAAGAACAAAUGUGUAAGUAACUAUGCACGUCUUGACGGUAACUAAUCAGAAAGCCACGGCUAACUACGUG
Molecule: ribosomal RNA, 497 nt
Filed under: uncultured bacterium
Lineage: Bacteria
Description: partial 16S ribosomal RNA
Rfam family: Bacterial small subunit ribosomal RNA
Source: RNAcentral